RNAcentral lists this ribosomal RNA (495 nucleotides) under uncultured bacterium. RNAcentral's name for it is "partial 16S ribosomal RNA". It matches the Rfam family "Bacterial small subunit ribosomal RNA", at positions 28 to 506 of the family's 1533-position model. The record is from RNAcentral.
GAUGAACGCUGGCGGCGUGCCUAAUACAUGCAAGUCGAGCGAACAGACGAGGAGCUUGCUCCUCUGACGUUAGCGGCGGACGGGUGAGUAACACGUGGAUAACCUACCUAUAAGACUGGGAUAACUUCGGGAAACCGGAGCUAAUACCGGAUAAUAUAUUGAACCGCAUGGUUCAAUAGUGAAAGACGGUUUUGCUGUCACUUAUAGAUGGAUCCGCGCCGCAUUAGCUAGUUGGUAAGGUAACGGCUUACCAAGGCAACGAUGCGUAGCCGACCUGAGAGGGUGAUCGGCCACACUGGAACUGAGACACGGUCCAGACUCCUACGGGAGGCAGCAGUAGGGAUCUUCCGCAAUGGGCGAAAGCCUGACGGAGCAACGCCGCGUGAGUGAUGAAGGUCUUCGGAUCGUAAAACUCUGUUAUUAGGGAAGAACAAAUGUGUAAGUAACUAUGCACGUCUUGACGGUACCUAAUCAGAAAGCCACGGCUAACUACGU